AACUUCAUUCAUCCCAACAGAACUAGAAACUUAAACACUCCCUAUUCAGCACAAGAAGUCACUCCCCCACGUUCCAAAAACUUUUAAAUUACCUGUCUACACUAAAACAACCAAAUCCCCCCAAUCCAUAUUCCGUACAAUAAGCCACCCACAUCCCUCAUUGCAAUAUCAACCCCAACCCCACUAUAACACACAAAACCCAAAAUUUUGUAGAUAAAUGACAUUUCAAGCAUGUAAUAAAACCAAUAGCACGUAACAAAAACAAAGCCUAUAUGCCAUUAACUAACCUUAUGAUCCAAAUUCACAAAAUUCUUCGUUCCAUUAUCUGACCAUAUAACCAACAUUCACAAAAUCCUCCAGAAAACAAUAAACCAAAACAAACCCUAUAUUCCAUUAUAACCAAGAUUCACAGAAUCCUCCUAGACCUCCAAAAAAAAAACACAAAAAAAAAUGCAAAAAAAUAAAUCCAAGCUUUU
RNAcentral lists this long non-coding RNA (476 nucleotides) under Populus trichocarpa (black cottonwood). RNAcentral's name for it is "long non-coding RNA (PTRI_LNC004678)". The record is from RNAcentral. Lineage: Eukaryota; Viridiplantae; Streptophyta; Magnoliopsida; Malpighiales; Salicaceae.